GACGAACGCUGGCGGCGUGCUUAACACAUGCAAGUCGAACGGAAAGGCCCUGCUUUUGUGGGGUGCUCGAGUGGCGAACGGGUGAGUAACACGUGAGUAACCUGCCCUUGACUUUGGGAUAACUUCAGGAAACUGGGGCUAAUACCGGAUAGGAGCUCGUGCUGCAUGGUGGGGGUUGGAAAGUUUCGGCGGUUGGGGAUGGACUCGCGGCUUAUCAGCUUGUUGGUGGGGUAGUGGCUUACCAAGGCUUUGACGGGUAGCCGGCCUGAGAGGGUGACCGGCCACAUUGGGACUGAGAUACGGCCCAGACUCCUACGGGAGGCAGCAGUGGGGAAGAUUGCACAAUGGGCGGAAGCCUGAUGCAGCAACGCCGCGUGCGGGAUGACGGCCUUCGGGUUGUAAACCGCUUUCGCCUGUGACGAAGCGUGAGUGACGGUAAUGGGUAAAGAAGCACCGGCUAACUACGUG
Molecule: ribosomal RNA, 468 nt
Filed under: uncultured bacterium
Lineage: Bacteria
Description: partial 16S ribosomal RNA
Rfam family: Bacterial small subunit ribosomal RNA
Source: RNAcentral